Molecule: ribosomal RNA, 736 nt
Filed under: Salmonella enterica
Lineage: Bacteria; Pseudomonadati; Pseudomonadota; Gammaproteobacteria; Enterobacterales; Enterobacteriaceae
Also listed under: 1 other name
Description: partial 23S ribosomal RNA
Rfam family: Bacterial large subunit ribosomal RNA
Source: RNAcentral
UACCCGCGGCAAGACGGAAAGACCCCGUGAACCUUUACUAUAGCUUGACACUGAACAUUGAGCCUUGAUGUGUAGGAUAGGUGGGAGGCUUUGAAGCGUGGACGCCAGUCUGCGUGGAGCCGACCUUGAAAUACCACCCUUUAAUGUUUGAUGUUCUAACGUGGACCCGUUACCCGGGUUGCGGACAGUGUCUGGUGGGUAGUUUGACUGGGGCGGUCUCCUCCUAAAGAGUAACGGAGGAGCACGAAGGUUGGCUAAUCCUGGUCGGACAUCAGGAGGUUAGUGCAAUGGCAUAAGCCAGCUUGACUGCGAGCGUGACGGCGCGAGCAGGUGCGAAAGCAGGUCAUAGUGAUCCGGUGGUUCUGAAUGGAAGGGCCAUCGCUCAACGGAUAAAAGGUACUCCGGGGAUAACAGGCUGAUACCGCCCAAGAGUUCAUAUCGACGGCGGUGUUUGGCACCUCGAUGUCGGCUCAUCACAUCCUGGGGCUGAAGUAGGUCCCAAGGGUAUGGCUGUUCGCCAUUUAAAGUGGUACGCGAGCUGGGUUUAGAACGUCGUGAGACAGUUCGGUCCCUAUCUGCCGUGGGCGCUGGAGAACUGAGGGGGGCUGCUCCUAGUACGAGAGGACCGGAGUGGACGCAUCACUGGUGUUCGGGUUGUCAUGCCAAUGGCACUGCCCGGUAGCUAAAUGCGGAAGAGAUAAGUGCUGAAAGCAUCUAAGCACGAAACUUGCCCCGA